RNAcentral lists this long non-coding RNA (463 nucleotides) under Manacus vitellinus (golden-collared manakin). RNAcentral's name for it is "lncRNA (ENSMVIG00005001815.1)". Lineage: Eukaryota; Metazoa; Chordata; Aves; Passeriformes; Pipridae. The record is from RNAcentral.
UGCCUCAUGCAAUGUGGUAUCUCUUGAGGAUGAAGGCAGAGCUAGAUGACAUAGAGAAAAAAAAAUCUUUCAGAAGAAAGUGAGAUCAGUUAUUUAAUCCAAACACCAGAAGAAUGCUACUCACAUAAGCUGAUUUGUUUUCCAGAAUAUGAGACUGGAUCUGCUUAUAUAUGAGGAAGCAAAAUGCAAAGCCCUUGAUUAUGGUCUGACUCCUGUUCCAGUGCAGACAUGGAGGGUGAGUUGGCAAUCUCCUCAGAGAUGGAGCAACUACAGACAGCUCUUUUUUUUGAUAAUCUUCCUGACACUUGGAUGAGACUGGCUUAUCCAUCAACAUACAGUUGCUCAGUGGAGCCUCCUGAGUAAGGCAUAGAGCCACUGACUGAUGGAGUGAACGAGGACUGGAGAGCUGACCAAAGGACAGGAAAGCUCUGCCAAGCACAAAGACAGGUAGCACUAGAAGGCA